CCUGAGAGGGUGCGUCACAGGUGCUGCAUGGCUGCCGUCAGCUCGUGUCGUGAGAUGUUGGGUUAAGUCCCGCAACGAGCGCAACCCCUGCGGUUAGUUACCCGUGUCUAACGGGACUGCCUUCGGGGGGGAAGGCGGGAUGACGUGAAGUCCGCAUGGCCCUUACGUCUGGGGCGACACACACGCUACAAUGGCGCCGACAAUGCGUCGCACCCGCGCAAGCGGAUGCUAAGUCGCCAAACGGCGCCCCAGUGCAGAUCGGGGGCUGCAACUCGCCCCCGUGAAGGCGGAGUUGCUGAGGAACCGCGUAUCAGCCAUGGCGCGGUGAAUACGUACGCCGGGCCUUGUACACACCGCCCGUCACGUCAUGGGAGUUGUCAAUGCCUGAAGUCCGCCAGCUAACCGGUUUCCGGAGGCAGCGGGCCGAGGGCAGGGGCGAGCGACUGGGACGAAGUCGUAACAAGGU
Molecule: ribosomal RNA, 466 nt
Filed under: uncultured bacterium
Lineage: Bacteria
Description: bacterial SSU rRNA
Rfam family: Bacterial small subunit ribosomal RNA
Source: RNAcentral